This 333-nucleotide ribosomal RNA is filed under the name Papiliocellulus elegans. Its description in RNAcentral is "SSU rRNA". It matches the Rfam family "Eukaryotic small subunit ribosomal RNA", at positions 627 to 961 of the family's 1831-position model. Lineage: Eukaryota; Bacillariophyta; Thalassiosirophyceae; Cymatosirales; Cymatosiraceae. The record is from RNAcentral. RNAcentral also lists the same sequence under 1 other name.
CUCGUAGUUGGAUUUCUGGUGGGAGCGACCGGUCCGGCGCUUAGCGCGGGUACUUGCGUCGUCUCCGGCCAUCCUUGGGGAGAGUUUGUCUGGCAUUAAGUUGUCGGGCAGAGGAUCCUCAUCGUUUACUGUGAAAAAAUUAGAGUGUUCAAAGCAGGCUUAUGCCGUUGAAUAUAUUAGCAUGGAAUAAUAAGAUAGGACUUUGGUACUAUUUUGUUGGUUUGCGCACCAAAGUAAUGAUUAAUAGGGACAGUUGGGGGUAUUCGUAUUCCGUUGUCAGAGGUGAAAUUCUUGGAUUUACGGAAGACGAACUACUGCGAAAGCAUUUACCAA